RNAcentral lists this long non-coding RNA (1459 nucleotides) under Zostera marina. Its description in RNAcentral is "long non-coding RNA (ZMAR_LNC005177)". Lineage: Eukaryota; Viridiplantae; Streptophyta; Magnoliopsida; Alismatales; Zosteraceae. The record is from RNAcentral.
GAGAGAGGUCAGACGAGUCAGGAAUAAGAGGUGUUCAGAUUAGGAUAACGUAGCGUAUACUGCGACGACACGUGCUACAUCCCAAAAUAUAAGAAAAUGUAAGUUUGAAUUUGGAAUUUUGGAUAUCAUUAAUUAAUUAAAAAUCAUAUAAUACAAAUUAAAUUUUUCUUUUUAGAUUUUGACUUUGGAGUUUGGAUGUAAAUGUAAUUAAUUAAUUAUAAAUCAUAUAAUACAAAAAAACUUUCCUUUUGGAAUAGACUUGUGCGGCAGUGCCCGGUAAGGUAGCAGACUAUCUGGCCAACUGACGGACUCGAUUUGGAGCAGAUCUGGGGACGAAUCUCCGGUAUUUUCCUAGAAUUACCGUGGUGAGGCGGGUCAAAUGGAAGAAUUCCGGGAAAGUUUCGUCCUGUUAGGUAAAACACGACCUUGAUCGGUCUUGUCAGAACUCAGACCGGUGCGGCGGUGCCCGGUAAGGUAGCAGACUAUCUGGCCAACUGACGGACUCGAUUUGGAGCAGAUCUGGGGACGAAUCUCCGCGGUAUUUAGUAGCUUUCUGGAAUCACCGUGGAGAGGCGCGUCAAAUGGAAGAAUUCCGGCGAAAUUUCGUCUUCUUAGAUGAAACACGACCUUGAUCGGUCUUGUCAGAAGUCAGAACUCAGAAGUAGUAACACUUUGGCGAGUGGUUUAGCCGUGAAAAGGGCCGACUCGAAUGUGAAAUGAACCAGUCUGCGCCUAACAGUCAUGGCCCGUUAAUCUAACAACUUUAAAUUUAAAUCUAGCUAACUAGUCAAAAAUCAAAAUUAGUGGGGUAGUUUUAAAAAUUAGCCCAAAUAAUUAAUAUUAAAUUGUUACCUUGUUGAAAUUUUCUGCAUUCUUCUUUCCUCCGUAUCACAAUUCGCGUCCACUUCUUCGUGACGUAAGACAUAAUUGGACCAAUCUACGCCUCACAGUUGGCACCCGAUUGAUCAAACUCGCAUGUUUUGGGUACGAAUAUAUAUAUCGUCAAAAAUCAAAAUUAGUGAUGUAGUUUUAAAAAUUAGCCCAAAUAAUUAAUAUUAAAUUGUUACCUUGUUGAGAUUCUCUGCAUUCUACUUUCCUCCAUAUCACGAUUCGCGUCCACUUCUUCGUGACGUCAGACACAAUUGGACCAAUCAACGCCUCACAGUUGGCACCCGAUUGAUCAAACUCGCAUGUUUUGGGUACGAAUAUAUAUAUCGUCACAAAAAGAAAAAUUUCGAACCAAACCGAGAAAGAAGUACGAUAGGAGGGGACGACACGACAGAGUGUCGGUUUCCAAGAACAAGAUGCAGAUCGGAAGAAAUAUUAUAUUCAAUAACAAAUUUCAACAUACACAGUAACACAGAUUUCAAUUCAAAGCAAAUAACAGAUGGAUCGAUGAUCCGACACCAAACGAUCGACGGAGCGAGGGAGGGGGGAAUUAAAGAAGACUGUAAUUAAU